GUUGAUCCUGCGGGAGAUUGCCGCUAUCUGAGUGGGACUAAGCCAUGCAAGUCUGAGGGUUUUCUUUUAGGAAGCACAGGCAUAAUGCUCAGUAACACGUCAAUAAUCUGCCCUUAGGUCUGGGAUAACCUCGGGAAACUGAGGCUAAAACCGGAUAGGUAAAUGAUACUGGAAUGUUCUUUUACUGAAAGGCAGCGCCUAAGGAUGAGUUGGCGGCCGAUUAGGUUGUUGGUGGGGUAAAGGCCCACCAAGCCAAAGAUCGGUAGGGGCCUUGGAAGAGGGAGCCCCGAGAAGGGUACUGAGACACUGACCCUAGCCCUACGGGGUGCAGCAGGCGCGAAACCUUUACAAUGCACGCAAGUGUGAUAAGGCUACUCAGAGUGCUCAUGUUUUGCAUGGGUUUUUGUUAAGAGUAAAAAUCUUAGCGAAUAAGGGGUGGGUAAGACUGGUGCCAGCCGCCGCGGUAACCCCAGCGCCCCAAGUGGCAAUCACGAUUAUUGGGCCUUAAGCGUUCGUAGCCGGUUUAGUAAGUUCUUGGUGAAAUCGUUCUGCUCAACAGAACGGCGUGCUUGGAAUACUGCUAAACUAGGGACCGGGAGGCGUCAGAAGUAUUCUAGGGGGAGCGGUAAAAUGUUAUAAUCCCUAGAGGACUACCUGUGGCGAAGGCGUCUGACGAGAACGGGUCCGACGGUGAGGGACGAAAGCUAGGGGAGCAAACGGGAUUAGAUACCCCAGUAGUCCUAGCCGUAAACGUUGCGAGCUGGAUGUCGCGUAAUCUUCGUGGUUGUGCGGUGUCGUAGCGCAGGUGUUAAGCUCGCCGCCUGGGAAGUACGGUCGCAAGGCUGAAACUUAAAGGAAUAGGCGGGGGAGCACCACAAGGGGUGCGGCGUGCGGUUUAAUCGAAUUCAACGCCGAGAAUCUCACCAGGGGCGACGGCAGAAUGAAGGUCAGCCUGAAGGGCUUACCUGACGAGCCGAGAGGUAGUGCAUGGCCGUCGUCAGCUCGUACCGUGAGGUGUCCUGUUGAGUCAGGCAACGAGCGAGACCUGUGCCCUUAAUUGCUAACAGUUGCUUCGGCAAGACUGAGAACAUUAGGGGGACUGCCCGGGAAACCGGGAGGAAGGUGCAGGCGACGGUAGGUCUGUAUGCUCCGAAUCUCCUGGGCAACACGCGCGCAACAGUGGUAGGGACAAUGGGAUGCAACCCCGAGAGGGGAAGCUAAACCUCUAAACCCUAUCUUAGUCCAGAUCGAGGGCUGUAACUCGCCCUCGUGACGCUGGAAUCCCCAGUAAUCGUGGUUCAUCGUACCACGGUGAAUAUGUCCCUGCUCCUUGCACUCACCGCCCGUCAAUCCAACCGAGUGGGGUUAGGAUGAGGCCUUACUUUGAGUAAUGUCGAAUUCUAGCUUCGUGAGGCGGGAUAAGUCGUCACAAGGUA
RNAcentral lists this ribosomal RNA (1436 nucleotides) under metagenome. RNAcentral's name for it is "bacterial SSU rRNA". It matches the Rfam family "Archaeal small subunit ribosomal RNA". The record is from RNAcentral.